UACGUAGGGUGCAAGCGUUGUCCGGAAUUAUUGGGCGUAAAGAGCUCGUAGGCGGUCUGUCGCGUCGGAUGUGAAAAUCCAGGGCUUAACCCUGGGCCUGCAUUCGAUACGGGCAGACUAGAGUUCGGUAGGGGAGACUGGAAUUCCUGGUGUAGCGGUGAAAUGCGCAGAUAUCAGGAGGAACACCGGUGGCGAAGGCGGAUCUCUGGGCCUUACCUGACGCUCAGGUGCGAAAGCUAGGGGAGCGAACAGG
RNAcentral lists this ribosomal RNA (253 nucleotides) under uncultured bacterium. RNAcentral describes it as "partial 16S ribosomal RNA". It matches the Rfam family "Bacterial small subunit ribosomal RNA", at positions 524 to 776 of the family's 1533-position model. The record is from RNAcentral.